This is a non-coding RNA of Thermobrachium celere DSM 8682, 265 nucleotides long. It matches the Rfam family "Bacterial large signal recognition particle RNA". From Rfam's summary of the family: The signal recognition particle (SRP) is a universally conserved ribonucleoprotein involved in the co-translational targeting of proteins to membranes. Lineage: Bacteria; Bacillati; Bacillota; Clostridia; Eubacteriales; Clostridiaceae. The record is from Rfam.
CCGUGCUAGACGGGGAGGUAGCGGUGCCCUGUAACCUGCAAUCCGCUAUAGCAGGGUUGAAUUCCUUACCUAGGUGUAAGCAUGUAGGGACUGACCUGGGUAAGUGGUGUUGAAGAUUGGGUCCUGCGCAACGGAAAUUCAUGAACCCCGCCAGGUCCGGAAGGAAGCAACGGUAAGUGAACACUUCCGUGUGCCGUGGGUAAGCCUGAUUGGAGCUUACUGCCCAGGUAACGCUUGUAGGCUUACAUCGAAGUAAGGUGCACGG